AAGGGACUGCUGGAGAGUCUGGGAGCAUCAGGGAUGAUGAUGAGGGUUUAUGAAGCAAGCUGGAGGGGAGUUUCUCAGCAAAGAUGUGCUAAAAGCCAUGCCGCAAGAUUUUGAUGUCUCAGCUCCUUCUGGCCUCAGCAGAAUGCAUGUCUGUCAGCUCCGGUCAGCCUGAUCCACGCAUGCGGUUCCUGUGCAAUCUCUUAAGGACAACAGAGGGUGUUUCUCUUCUUUUCCCUUGAAGGAAACUCAUGAACUGGUUUCACAUUUGUUUUUCUUUUAAACUUGAGGCUUUGCAGAUAUUAAAAUAUAAUCCAGGAAGAAUUUGCUUUGUGCGGGAACAGUGUGGGAUUAUUUUGGGGAAAGAAAGGUCGCUUUGGGGUCUAGUAGAGGUGGGGAGGGGGAGAGCUUUUCAUUUCCCCUCUGGGCUCCUUUGGGAUCCAUGUCAAUACUUCCUGAGAAACAAGAGCAGCUGGUAUGAGAACAAAGUUGUAGACUUCCAAAUAUUCGAGGCUUCGCACUGUCUUGCUUAAAGCCAACCAUGCCAUGUCGGGGGCUCAGAAAGACGACAAAAAGGGACUUCUAAGGAAGAUGGGAAGCUGGCAGAAGCAAAACAGGCCCAUCUAAUCUUCCUUAUAAACUGAGUGAAUGCUUCUGUUCAACCUACACCCCUGCUUCUAUAGCAGUGGUUUUAACCUGUAGUCCACAGAUGCCUGGGGGUCUGCAGACUAUGUCUAAGGGAUUUGAUGACUAUGAUGAAUCAAAAGUAUGUGAAUACCCACACUGACAAUUCAGAGGGGUCCAUACCGCCAUUCAAAUUUUUUUAGGGGUCCACAAAUGAAAAAAAGGUUGAAAACCAUCCAGAGAGAAUGGGUAUUAAAAUGAUGCUUCUGAUAUUGGGUUGUUGAUUCUGGUUAAAAAAUAAGCUAAUAAUUUGUAUUCUAGGUGAACAGCAGAACUAAGCAUUGAGAACAGGAAGUCCAGGGCCCCAGCGCAAUCCAGUCGCAUUUGGGAGAGAAACAAGAAUUCUAGAAAUGUAAAGAGAGGCUUAAGACAGCAUUUCCCAGGACCAUGUUGGAUCCAUGGCACGGAGCAGCUUUCCUUUGCUACACUCAGACCGCGGGGAAGGCAGUGAGGAGGGAGAGACUUUCUGAGGCUGUCGGAAGAGGAUGCACAGCUGACAGUGACUGCACACUUGACAGUGUUUAUUUGGAUUUCCAGAAAGCCUUUGAUAAAGUUCCACAUGGCAGACUCCUGACUGAACUGUACAAGCUCCAGGGAUCAUGGGAACAUAGAAAGUGCUGUCUACCCAUCUGUGAGAGGACACCAAAGGCUGAGAGAGACUGCAACCAGCCAAAGGUCCAAGUGGCACAUGCAGCAAGUGAAAGAUUCUCCCCUCCCUGCAGGGAGGGAGGCACAGACCGGGGAGAAGUGCAAGCACGUUCCUGCGAGAAGGAUGGAGCCAAAGCAAGACCAAGAAAGGAUGAUGGUGGAGCUAGAACAGGGAGGAAGGGACUGAACAGUAGGUUCUUCCCUGCCGUUAUGAGGAAGCAGAUACCAUGAAUGCCUGUGUGUGUUGGGGCUGGGCUCGCAGGAACCUGGGAGAUGGGAGGAGAGUUGAUUCUGCCCUUCUGUCCAAGAACUGGCUUCUUGUGUUUUCCUUUGUGACGGAUGAGUAAAGAACAUUGAUCAAUCAUAGAUCCAGACAAGCCUGCUGAGACCAUCACCCAUAAACUGCUUCUCUAAUUUUGUACCAGCACUGGUACCAGGUCCUGCCAGGGCCUCUUCUCUAACUUGUGUACUGUGUAUUCCUAUUG
Alligator mississippiensis (American alligator) is the source of this 1814-nucleotide long non-coding RNA. RefSeq lists it as uncharacterized. The record is from RefSeq and is a predicted model, not a curated record. The transcript is spliced from 3 exons. NCBI's taxonomy places the organism in Eukaryota, Metazoa, Chordata, Crocodylia, Alligatoridae.